GCAAACUGAGGCAGAGGAAAUGGAGCUUCAGCCAGGCAGCAUGCUUAACACUGGAGACAACAGAGGACCCCCACCCGGUGAGAAAACUGUUGCAGGAAGUCAGAUGAAUCCACAGCUGAGACACAGGAAACGGUGACAAAAGAAGCAUCCUGUUGUCCAUAUAAGCGAGAACGCUACAGCAUCUUUGAAGCCUCCAAAACCAGUUUUGAUGUGAAUAGGAUCAAUGUUCUUCUGGGACACCCAAAUGUGUUUACGUUUCAACAAUCUAGCUGUUGGUUUGAGGUGACAUGAAGAAUUUUGAGGUUGUCCUCCUCUUUCAUUAUUCCAUCCACCUUGAAUGUACCAGUGCCACCGGCAGCAAAUGGCCCUCCAUGGAUCAGACUUGUUUACACAGUACAUCCCACAGAUGCUCACUUGGAUUUAGAUCUGGGGAAUUUAGACGCCAAGUCAACUUCUCAAAGUCAUUAUUGUGCUCCUUUUUAUGAUCCAGUUGUGCCCAUUGUUGGGACAGGGGUCAGCAUGGGCUACAUAGACACUGGUCUGUGGCUAUGUAGCCCUAUACACGACAAACUACGAUACACUAUGUAUUCUGACAUCAUCAGAACCAGCUUUAACUUUUACAGAAAUUUGCUACGUUAGCUUGUCUCUAGAAUUAGACCAAAUGGGUCAGCCUUCACUCUUCGUGUGCAUCAGUGAACUCUGGCUCCCCGUGAUGCUGGUUCACCAUUGUUCCUUCCUUGGACCACUUUUGAUAGAUACUGACCUCUGCGGACUGGGAACACCCCGCAAGAGCUUCAGGUUUGAAGAUGCUCUGACAAACGGCUCAUUUUCCCUGCUUCUGAUACAUCAAUGUUGAGGACUAAUUUCACUUGCCCCCCAAUAAAUCCCGCCAUGAUGCACAAAUACUGAGUGUUAUUUACGCUACCUUUUAGUGGUCAUAAUGUUAUGCCUGAUCAUCGGAUGUUCUUCUGUUAUACUCUGCACAUACCAGGGAACAAACGGGCCCCGCCUCCACCACUAGCCCACUGUUCUGAUAUUUAUCUGACUGUUCACUAUUGACCGCCCCUGAUGCUCCACUUUCUUUCUUUCUCUGUCAGACGCCACUGACCUUUGUUGCAUAAAACAGUACACCCAGCAGGAGGUCUCCCUGGUGAAUACAGUAGGUCUCAACCUGCUGAUUAACAAAGCAGGGGUUCUGGCCAAAGGCCCCCUGCAGGGUGGCAGGCCAGAGAACAUGCAGACUAAAGUCCACAAUAAUGUUGAGCAUUAAAGUUGCACUUCCCCUUUAGAAGAAGAUCUAAAAUCGCAUGCAUCAUCAUCCCUACCAUUUCUUUUUGCAGCAUAAAGGAGAUGACAAAAGAGCCUUUUCAGUGUUGCAACCUGGCUGGCUUCAACAGUUCCAUGUGUGGAGAAGAGGAGAUCAAAUUUCCAGUUACAUCUUGUAUAAAGGAUACAGUGAAACAAUAUAGA
This is a long non-coding RNA of Oreochromis aureus, 1470 nucleotides long. RefSeq lists it as uncharacterized. Lineage: Eukaryota; Metazoa; Chordata; Actinopteri; Cichliformes; Cichlidae. The record is from RefSeq and is a predicted model, not a curated record. The transcript has 5 exons.